UCGACAAGACGACACGCGCCCUGAAGCUCACCUCCUGCUGAUCUACCACAGAUGUAGCAGGGCCACCUCCCAGGACGAGUGGUGUACACGCCGAGUCGUCUCGGCCGUCAGACGUGCACCGACGUUCUUCAGUGUCGGCACCCACACGACCCCUUCUAUCACGUCUUGGAGGGUCCGAGCAACAUGGUACGAAUUAUACUUUUGAAUAAUAUUGAUCAAUAUCCUUUACUUAUUGUUAUUAAACAUUCAUUAGGUCCGUCUGCACAAGUCUCGACGCAGCCUCGCAGAUUGAGCCCUGUACGUCCACAGUCAGGUUACUUCGGUGACGAGGCUGGUCCGUCUUCGGCGGCCCCACACCCUACCCCCCCCCCCCCCGCAACGUACUACGGCACGUCAGCGUGGCCUUCUUCUGCUGCACCGUCGUACCACGCAGGCCCCUCCAGCCAGUACACAUGGACGCCUGCCGAGCCUUCACAGUCCUCCUACCCUAGUUAGGAGGAUGAGGCUGGCCCCGACACCGCAUACGACAUCGUCCGUGACUUCUUCGGGGGCACACCUGACUACGACGUCCUUCAGCGGUCCCAGGUUUCCAGUGCACCGCUUCGGACCCAGCCCACGCACGACGAGCCCUCGACACCGGUGGUCCCUACUAGGCCUACCAGACACGUCGGCCCACCUGACCCCCUCACCUACUCCAGGGGUCACGUGAGGGUUAACCAGCGGCAUCGGGACCACGAUGGGGCGCACGGACGACGGCAACGAGGGAGGCAUGAGUAGCAUUUUAUAUUUUUUGUAACUA
Long non-coding RNA from Phragmites australis (common reed), 799 nucleotides. RefSeq lists it as uncharacterized. The record is from RefSeq and is a predicted model, not a curated record. The transcript is spliced from 3 exons. NCBI's taxonomy places the organism in Eukaryota, Viridiplantae, Streptophyta, Magnoliopsida, Poales, Poaceae.